CCUACGGGAGGCAGCAGUGGGGAAUCUUGCGCAAUGGGCGAAAGCCUGACGCAGCAACGCCGCGUGCGGGAAGAAGGCUUUCGGGCUGUAAACCGCUUUCAGCAGGAACGAAAAUGACGGUACCUGCAGAAGAAGGAGCGGCCAACUAUGUGCCAGCAGCCGCGGUGAUACAUAGGCUUCAAGCGUUGUCCGGAUUUAUUGGGCGUAAAGAGUUCGUAGGCGGUCGAGUAAGUCGGGUGUGAAAAUUCUGGGCUCAACCCAGAGACGCCACCCGAUACUGCUUAACUUGAGUUCAAUAGGGGAGUGGGGAAUUCCUAGUGUAGCGGUGAAAUGCGCAGAUAUUAGGAGGAACACCGGUGGCGAAGGCGCCACUCUGGAUCGAUACUGACGCUGAGGACGAAAGCAUGGGUAGCAAACAGGAUUAGAUACCCUGGUAGUCCAUGCCGUAAACGGUGGGCACUAGGUGUGGGAUUCUAUUAACGAAUUCCGCGCCGUCGCUAACGCAUUAAGUGCCCCGCCUGGGGGUAGGUACGGUCGCGAGACGUAAACGUACGAAGAAGUAAGUACGGCGUUGAGACGUUGCCGAACGGACGACGACGAGGGAGGAGG
This 609-nucleotide ribosomal RNA is filed under the name uncultured bacterium. Its description in RNAcentral is "bacterial SSU rRNA". The stretch from base 1 to 519 matches the Rfam family "Bacterial small subunit ribosomal RNA", at positions 338 to 873 of the family's 1533-position model. The record is from RNAcentral.